CAGACACAGACAGACACAGACAGACAAACUGACAGACAAACUGACAGACAGAGACAGACAAACAGACAGACAGACAGACAGACAAACAGACAGAGAGAGAGAGAGAGAGAGAGAGAGAGAGAGAGAGAGAGAGAGAGAGAGAGAGAGAGAGAGAGAGAGAGAGAGAGUGUGUGUGUAGUCCAUGAAAAGAGAUGUUAGACUUAGGGAAGGAGAUUGUAAUGAGGAACAAAGUCAUGUGGAGUCUGGCGUAAAGAGCAAACAUAGAAAGAGAACUUAAAUAAGGAAGAAAUCUUAGUCAAGAGCAAAAGUAUGUUGAGGAGUGGUUGUGGCUUAGGAAUAGGCCCUUGACAUAGGAGAAAGUAAACUGAUAGAAAAAUAGUGGCUAAGUCAAGGGGCAGAAAACAAAGUAUUUAGGAAUAGGUUGGAGUAAGAGGUUGCAAUGUGCUUAGAGUUAGACAGAGGUGCCAAUACAGGGAUACGAUGGUGGCCACAUCAGGCAGGUGGAGAACGUUGUACCUGGGCAGGGUGGAAUGCUUGGUCAAGAGGAGAAUACAGCAGACCCUCCAUUUAGCAUGUUAUUUUUAAGGAUUUCCCCAUGACUCAAUCUUGAGCUGACUCCUUCACACAAAUACAAAGUCCUACCAGCCCCAAAUCUUUAGGUAAAGUUGGGUGCAUAUCCAUUAGCUGUGCAUGGCAGUGGUGUUCAUCUCCGUCCAACUGGCCCUUGAGCCUUUGGUGGCAAGAGCCCAUCACCUGGGACACAGGGCCAGUGUGACAUCCGGGUUGCCACAGCUUGCCUUCCCCAGGUUUACCCAGGUGCACAUCUAUCCACCAGCCCAAAAGGGGAGGAUGAACAGGCUGGGACAUGAAGCCAGACCCACAGAUUCGUAGCUAGCCAUGCUAACCACUGGUCCAUGAAGGUGCUUACCACACAUUGAUGAAUCCCAUUUAAAAAACACCUCCAUUUAUUGCAGAUUUCUUUGGUAUCUGUCUGGCGUUGAAUAGAGGGUCUGCUGUUUGGUAAGGAGUCUGGGGCUGAGCAGUGCAAUAGAGGAGGGUGGAGCAGGCUGAGGAGGAGGUACAAAUGUAGUGGUAGAGAGUUGGAGGUCAGGGAGUAAAAAAAUAUUGGCUUAGUCAAGAGUAUGGAUUUGCUGAGAAGUAAUUGGGCUUCAAAUGCAAUAACAGGGUACAAUAGACUUCAAAAGCUGUCUAAGUUUAGCGAUAGAUGGAUGAAAUGUAAGUCAGAAGGUUUAAAAAUACCAGUUUAGUCAUUAUAAAUAUAUUGAGAUAGUUGGGUCUUAGCAAUAAGCUGGAGACAAUACCAAUGAUAGACUUUGUAAGAGAUGCAAAUAUAGUUACAGACAUGAAAUGUAAGUCAGAAGGUUUGAAAAUAACAGUUUAGUCAAGAUUAGAAAUAUAUUGAGAUGGUUGGGAAGUUGAAGGCAGCAGGUGGAAAAAUAUCACUUUAGUCAAGAGUAGAGAUUUUAUAAGAAAUAUUUAGGCUUAGCAAUUAAUAAAAGACAAUAGAAGGUAUAUAUUUUUUAGUCUCAACUUUCCAAAUACAGUUUCCAAAGAAGAGAGCAAAGGUACUUACCAAAACUGUACUUAAGUUUGGAGAAAGAGAACUUAAUCAUGGGUAGAAGAUUAACCCGGUAGCAGCGGGGAUCAUGUUUCUUAAUGGUCCCUCCAAGCGAGAAAAAUGAGAAAAAAUCACCCCCCACACAAACCAUUUCAUAAUAUACAUCAAAGCAUUUAUGAUCAGAUUAUGUAUCAUAUAUUUUUGGGGGUUUAUAUCAUGGCACAAAUUUGGCCCGUCGCUGCUACCGGGUUAACAAGAGUCCUUAGAGGCUUAAUGAAGAUUGGAUAGAGAGAUGCAGUGAAGGAAGAAGGAUAUGAGAGCUUAUAGAAGGGCGCAAAUAUUAUGAUAAAAGGAUUUGUAUAAGUUGGGUGCAGGAAAAUAAAUAGUAAGUCAAGAGUAUAUAUGUAGUGAGAGUUGGUUGAAGUUUUAAAAGUGUCCAAUGAGGUUUAAUUAAGACUGGUUAUUAAAGAUGUAAUGAAGAUGGGAAGAUGUGAGCGUUUAGACAAAAGUGCAAGUAGAAUGAUAAAAAAUUGUGUAUAAAUUUAACAAGUGUCUAUAGAGGUUUAAUAAAGAUUGGUUGGAGACGUAGGGAAGGAAGAAAGACGAGAGCUUAUAGAAGGGUGCAAAUACAAUGAUGAAGGGAAUGUGUGUGAGUUCGGUGUAGAAAAAAAGGAGAUUCAAGAAACAAUGUAAGUGUUAUGAGUUAGUUGGGCUGAGCAAUGGAUGGGAGACACCAUAGAGAUUUAGUCAGGAGUAUAAACGUAAUGAAAGUUAGUUGGGUUUAGGAAAGGAUGGGAGACACAAUAGAGGUUUAGUUAAGGGUAUAAAUGUAAUGAGAGUUAGUUGGGUUUAGGAAAGGAUGGGAGACACAAUAGAGAUUUAGUCAGGAGUAUAAACGUAAUGAAAGUUAGUUGGGUUUAGGAAAGGAUGGGAGACACAAUAGAGGUUUAGUCAGGAGUAUAAACGUAAUGAAAGUUAGUUGGGUUUAGGAAAGGAUGGGAGACACAAUAGAGGUUUAGUUAAGGGUAUAAAUGUAAUGAGAGUUAGUUGGGUUUAGGAAAGGAUGGGAGACACAAUAGAGGUUUAGUUAAGGGUAUAAAUGUAAUGAGAGUUAGUUGGGUUUAGGAAAGGAUGGGAGACACAAUAGAGGUUUAGUCAGGAGUAUAAACGUAAUGAAAGUUAGUUGGGUUUAGGAAAGGAUGGGAGACACAAUAGAGAUUUAGUCAGGAGUAUAAACGUAAUGAAAGUUAGUUGGGUUUAGGAAAGGAUGGGAGACACAAUAGAGGUUUAGUUAAGGGUAUAAAUGUAAUGAGAGUUAGUUGGGUUUAGGAAAGGAUGGGAGACACAAUAGAGGUUUAGUUAAGAGUAUAAAUGUAAUGAGAGUUAGUUGGGUUUAGGAAAGGAUGGGAGACACAAUAGAGGUUUAGUUACGAGUAUAAAUGUAAUGAGAGGUAGAUGGGUUUAGCAAUGGAUGGGAAAUAUGAUAGAGGUUUAGUAAAGAGUAUAAAUAUAUUAGAAUUUAGUUGGCCUUAGCAAUGGAUGGGAGAUACAAUAGAGGUUUAAAUGAGAGUAUAUAUGUAAUGAGAGUUAUUUGAGCUUUGUAAUGGAUGGGAGAUACAAUAGAGGUUUCAAUGAGAGUACAUAUGUAAUGAGAGUUAUUUGAGCUUUGUAAUGGAAGGGAGAUACAAUAGAGGUUUAGUUAGGGGAAUGUAAUGGCAGAUAGUUGGUUGGGCUCAGCAAUAGAUUGGAGAUAAUGCAGAGAUUUAGUUAAGAGUAUAGAUAUAAAUGGAGGUGGUUGGUUGGGUUAGCAGUGGAUGGGAAAUAGAACAUAAGUUUAGCCAAGAGUAUAAAUGUUAUUAGUGGUGGAUGGGCAUAGUAAUAGAUGGAAGACAUAAUAGAGGUUUAAUCAAGAGUAUAUAUAUAAAAGAGAUGGUUGGUUGGGAUUAGCAAGGGAGAGGAGACUUACUAGAGGUCUAAUCAAGAGUAUAUAUAUAAAAGAGAUGGUUGGUUGGGUUUAGCAAGGGAGAGGAGACUUACUAGAGGUCUAAUCAAGAGUAUAUAUAUAAAAGAGAUGUUUGGUUGGGUUUAGCAAGGGAGAGGAGACUUACUAGAGGUCUAAUCAAGAGUAUAUAUAUAAAAGAGAUGGUUGGUUGGGUUUAGCAAGGGAGAGGAGACUUACUAGAGGUCUAAGCAAGAGUAUAUAUAUAUAUAAAAGAGAUGGUUGGUUGGGUUUAGCAAGGGAGAGGAGACUUACUAGAGGUCUAAUCAAGAGUAUAUAUAUAGAAGAGAUGUUUGGUUGGAAGGAUAGGGGGAAAAAAAAAGGUAAAAUACAGGGAUGGAAAAAAAAUCAGUGAGUCAAAAGUAUAAAUGUAAUGAGAAUUAGUUGGGCUUAGCAAUAGAUGGGAGACAUAAUAGAGAUUUAUUCAAGAGUAUAUAUAUAAAAGAGAUGCCUGGUUGGGUUGAGCAAUAGGUAAGGGACAAAAAAAUAAGGCUCUAAUACAGGGAUGGAAAAAAAUGAUUCCGGCAAAAAUAUUAAUGCUGGAAAAAAAGAGUUUACAAAGAAGAACUCAAAGGUACUUACAAAACAGGUACUUAAGAAUGUGGAAGUGUUUACAUUCAGUAGGACAAAACUAAACUGACUACAAAACACAUAAUGGGUGCAGAGAAAGUUCCAACCACAGGGACGGAAAAGUUAGUCAAAGUAUACAUGUAAUGAGGGUUUGUUGGGCUUAGCAAUGGAUAGGAGAUAUAAUAGACCUUUAGUUAAGAGUAUAAAUAUGAAUAGUAGAAGUGGUUGGUUGGGUUCAGCAGUGGAUAAGGGACAAAAUAAUAGGUAAAAAGCAUUCCACUUAUAGUUUUAUGGAGCCAAGUAAGUAGACUCACACCACUCAUUUGGCUUUGUUUUCUUGGCCACCAACCAACAUUCUUGUACACGUUUGGUCGAUCAACCACUGAACCGAACUGAACACUUACCGUUCUUGUUCAGCAGAUCCCAGCAUGUACCGAACUGGGCCCAAAAGUUUGUUAUAUCCAAAAAUGCUAUAUCGAGGUCCAUAAUAUCGAGGUUUUCCUGUAGUUUAUGCGAUAUCUUGACGGAUAACAGUGUCUAUAUAGUAACCCAGCAAAUCCUAGCAUGUACCGAACUGGGCCCAAAAGUUUGUUAUAUCCAAAAAUGCUAUAUAGAGGUCCAUAAUAUUGAGGUUUUCCUGUAGUUUAUGCGAUAUCUUGACGGAUAACAGUGUCUAUAUAGUAACCCAGCAAAUCCCAGCAUGCACCUCCCCCAAAGUUUUUUUAAAUCCGAAAAAUGCUAUAUCAAGGUCCAUAAUAUUGAUGUUUUACUGUGGUUUAUGUGAUAUCUUGAUGGAUAACAGUGUCUAUAUAGUAACCCAGCAAAUCAAACCAUGUACCUCACUGGGUCAGAAAGUUUAUUAUUAAAGCCAAAAUAUGCUAGAUAGAGGUCCACAAUAUUGAUGUUUUACUGUGGUUUAUGCGAUAUCUUGAUGGAUAACAUUGUCUAUAUAGUAACCCAGCAAAUCCUAGCAUGUACUGCACUGGGCCGGAAAGUUUGUUAAAUCUGAAAUACGCUAUAUUGAGGUCCAUAAAAGAAGAAAGAGGAGUUGCAGGAAAGAAAAGAAAUUAAAAAGGAGACAGAAGUGAGAGAGAAAGUAGGAAGGAAUAGUGUAACGGUGAGAGAAUAGUUUAUGAAUGUAUUGACGGAUAAUCAUGUGUCUAUAUAGCAACCCAGUGAAUAAGUGAUAGUCAGUAAGGUAUUCUAGUGUUACAGAUCUUGCCUGCAUAUGUUUAGUGGCUUUGCUUGAGGCAGAUCAAACCAGAGCCACACAACAGGAGAGUGUGGACACCCUCAUCACAGGGGCACUAUGUUGUUACCUAAAGAGUUGUGGGAAACUUUAGCUGAUGCCGAGACGUAAACUUUAAUCUGUUUUCUAUUCAUGAUAAAGCCAACCAACUCCUUUUUUCCUUUUUCUUUUCUUUUGCUUCUUCUUCCUCUUCUUACUUUCUUUUCUUUCCUCCUCUUCUUCCUUCUCUUCUAUUACUUUUUGUGUUCUUUCCUUUCUCCUCCUCCUCCUCCUCCUCCUUAUCUUCCGUCCCUCAUUUUAUCUUCACUUUCUCUUCUAUUCCUUCAUCUUUGUUUCUUCUCUUCCUUUCUCUCUCUCCUUAAAUGUUUCCCUUGACACAUAAAAAACAUGAAAACACAAAUAAAUAAGAAUAACAGUGACUUAAAAAUAAAAAAAAUAAAAACAAACCCCUUAAAGUUACUGUUGAAACCAUUUAUUAUUGAUGCUUUGUGUAAUAGAUAUAGACAUGAUUGAAAAUUCCGAUAAAUCAGUCAAUCUAAACACUUAUCAUAUCACCAUCAAUUUGAAAUCCACACAGCUCUUCUGGUAGCAACUUGGCCGCUGUGGUGAAGGUGGCCACACUCCCCUAUUCUGUGGCUGUGGUCCGAACUAUAAGCUGUGGUUGGCAGUGCUGUGGUAGACUUAAGCGACCAGGAAUAUAUUCGUGGUGUGGUGAGACCAUUCCUGCAACCCAUGAUACUCUGAUAAGACAUUUGAUCACAUAGAAGUCUGUAUAAGUACCGUAUAUGUUCACGUCAUGCCAUGAUAUGUACAUUCAACUGAGGAAUUUAAUCGCAUAGAAGGUUAUUAAAGUACUGUAUUAUUAUUAGUAUUAGUUAUCAUGGGAGCUGUCAGCACAUGGUCACAUUUCACACCCAAGGAGAUGCUAGACUGUAAGGAAAUAAAAUGUACAAGUUGUGCCUGAAAUCAAAAUGACAAAAUGUUUAUACUGUGAGUGUUUGUGUGAACCUGAGUGCUGGUGUGCCCCAAUAAUGCUCCAGACGGUG
Eriocheir sinensis (Chinese mitten crab) is the source of this 6443-nucleotide long non-coding RNA. RefSeq lists it as uncharacterized. Lineage: Eukaryota; Metazoa; Arthropoda; Malacostraca; Decapoda; Varunidae. The record is from RefSeq and is a predicted model, not a curated record. The transcript has 3 exons.